AGUUAGCCGAACGGUCGCGUGAAAUAUUGAGGAAAGUCCGAGCAUCACAGGGCAAGGGUGCCGGGUAACUCCCGGUGAAGGCGACUUCAAGGACAGUGCAACAGAAAAAAACCGCCGCGUAUGCGGUAAGGAUGGAAAGGCGAGGUAAGAGCUCACCCGCAAUUUGGCGACAAUGCGCGAUGUAAACCCCACUCGAUGCAAGAUCGGGAGUACGAAAUGUGGCCCGCAAACUCCCCACAUCGCUUGAAACAUGCAGAAAUGUACGUUGUAGAUAGAUGACCGUUUAAGACAGAACUCGGCUUACAGACUAUCUCG
This 315-nucleotide RNase P RNA is filed under the name human gut metagenome. RNAcentral describes it as "Bacterial RNase P class A". It matches the Rfam family "Bacterial RNase P class A". Rfam says of the family: Ribonuclease P (RNase P) is a ubiquitous endoribonuclease, found in archaea, bacteria and eukarya as well as chloroplasts and mitochondria. Its best characterised activity is the generation of mature 5'-ends of tRNAs by cleaving the 5'-leader elements of precursor-tRNAs. The record is from RNAcentral.